Molecule: ribosomal RNA, 245 nt
Filed under: uncultured bacterium
Lineage: Bacteria
Description: partial 16S ribosomal RNA
Rfam family: Bacterial small subunit ribosomal RNA
Source: RNAcentral
CCGCUACCACGCGAGUGGAUGCCAAUCCCUAAAACCCCUCUCAGUUCGGACUGGAGUCUGCAACCCGACUCCACGAAGCUGGAUUCGCUAGUAAUCGCGCAUCAGCCACGGCGCGGUGAAUACGUUCCCGGGCCUUGUACACACCGCCCGUCAAGCCAUGGGAGCCGGGGGUACCUGAAGUGCGUAACCGCGAGGAUCGCCCUAGGGUAAAACUGGUGACUGGGGCUAAGUCGUAACAAGGUACC